AGUGAACGCUGGCGGUAGGCCUAACACAUGCAAGUCGAACGGCAGCACAGUAAGAGCUUGCUCUUACGGGUGGCGAGUGGCGGACGGGUGAGGAAUACAUCGGAAUCUACUUUUUCGUGGGGGAUAACGUAGGGAAACUUACGCUAAUACCGCAUACGACCUACGGGUGAAAGCAGGGGAUCUUCGGACCUUGCGCGAUUGAAUGAGCCGGUGUCGGAUUAGCUAGUUGGCGGGGUAAAGGCCCACCAAGGCGCCGAUCCGUAGCUGGUCUGAGAGGAUGACGCGCCCAGAGGGAAGAGGGCAACGGUCCGACCCCCAUGGGGGGGAGAGUGGGGGGGAAUGUGGCAGUGGGGGGGAGGGCAGAACCGGCCAAACCCGGGUGGUGAGAAGGCCCGUGGGGUUUGAAGGCCUUUUUGUUGGAAAAGAAAAGCAGCCGGUAAAAACCCCGUGUUUUGACGGUAACCAAAGAAAAAGCCACGGCUAACCUCGGG
RNAcentral lists this ribosomal RNA (491 nucleotides) under uncultured bacterium. Its description in RNAcentral is "partial 16S ribosomal RNA". It matches the Rfam family "Bacterial small subunit ribosomal RNA", at positions 30 to 507 of the family's 1533-position model. The record is from RNAcentral.